GACGAACGCAGGCGGCGUGCUUAACACAUGCAAGUCGAACGGAAAGGCCCGCAUCAUUUUUGUGGUGGGGGUGCUCGAGUGGCGAACGGGUGAGUAACACGUGGGUGAUCUUCCCUGUACUUCGGGAUAAGCUUGGGAAACUGGGUCUAAUACCGGAUAGGACCAUGGUUUAGUGUCUCAUGUUGGAAAGAUUAUUGUUUUGGUGCAGGAUGAGCUCGCGGCCUAUCAGCUUGUUGGUGGGGUAAUGGCCUACCAAGGCGUCGACGGGUAGCCGGCCUGAGAGGGUGGACGGCCACAUUGGGACUGAGAUACGGCCCAGACUCCUACGGGAGGCAGCAGUUGGGAAUAUUGCACAAUGGGCUGCAAGCCUGAUGCAGCGACGCCGCGUGGGGGAUGACGGCCUUCGGGUUGUAAACUCCUUUCGUUAGGGACGAAGCCACACCUUUUUUGGGUGUGGUGACGUACCUUGUAAGAAGCACCGCA
This 483-nucleotide ribosomal RNA is filed under the name Corynebacterium matruchotii. Its description in RNAcentral is "bacterial SSU rRNA". It matches the Rfam family "Bacterial small subunit ribosomal RNA", at positions 28 to 497 of the family's 1533-position model. The record is from RNAcentral. Lineage: Bacteria; Bacillati; Actinomycetota; Actinomycetes; Mycobacteriales; Corynebacteriaceae.